UCUAAAAUGGCAGAAAGAUGUAUAGGAUUUAAGCUCCUACCAGGGAAUUUUUUAUUCCUUUUAGAA
Molecule: transfer RNA, 66 nt
Filed under: Ashtoret lunaris
Lineage: Eukaryota; Metazoa; Arthropoda; Malacostraca; Decapoda; Matutidae
Also listed under: 1 other name
Description: tRNA-Leu
Source: RNAcentral